This 459-nucleotide ribosomal RNA is filed under the name uncultured bacterium. RNAcentral describes it as "partial 16S ribosomal RNA". It matches the Rfam family "Bacterial small subunit ribosomal RNA", at positions 338 to 795 of the family's 1533-position model. The record is from RNAcentral.
CCUACGGGAGGCAGCAGUGAGGAAUAUUGGUCAAUGGUCGGGAGACUGAACCAGCCAAGCCGCGUGAGGGAUGAAGGUACAGAGUAUCGUAAACCUCUUUUGUCAGGGAACAAAGGCGGGGACGUGUCCCCGGAUGAGUGUACCUGAAGAAAAAGCAUCGGCUAACUCCGUGUCAGCUGCCGCGGUAAUACGGAGGAUGCGAGCGUUAUCGGGAUUUAUUGGGUUAAAGGGGUGCGCAGGCGGUAUGUUAAGUCAGGGGUAAAAGCCCGGGGCUCAACCCCGGCCCGACGUUGAAACUGGCAGUCUCGAGUUGGAGAGAGGUAUGCGGAAUGCGCGGUGUAGCGGUGAAAUGCAGAGAUAUCGCGCAGAACUCCGAUUGCGAAGGCAGCAUGCCGGCUCCACACUGACGCGGAGGCACGAAAGCGUGGGUAUCGAACAGGAUUAGAUACCCUUGUAGUC